Molecule: ribosomal RNA, 128 nt
Filed under: uncultured bacterium
Lineage: Bacteria
Description: partial 16S ribosomal RNA
Rfam family: Bacterial small subunit ribosomal RNA
Source: RNAcentral
UAGGGAAUCUUCCACAAUGGACGAAAGUCUGAUGGAGCAACGCCGCGUGAGUGAAGAAGGGUUUCGGCUCGUAAAGCUCUGUUGGUAGUGAAAGAAAGAUAGAGGUAGUAACUGGUCCUUUAUUUGAC